UACGAAGGGGGCUAGCGUUGCUCGGAAUGACUGGGCGUAAAGGGCGCGUAGGCGGUUAAUUGGGUCAGAUGUGAAAUUCCUGGGCUUAACCUGGGGGCUGCAUUUGAAACUAGUUGGCUAGAGUUCGGAAGAGGGUCGUGGAAUUCCCAGUGUAGAGGUGAAAUUCGUAGAUAUUGGGAAGAACACCGGUGGCGAAGGCGGCGACCUGGUCCGAUACUGACGCUGAGGCGCGAAAGCGUGGGGAGCAAACAGG
This 253-nucleotide ribosomal RNA is filed under the name uncultured bacterium. RNAcentral describes it as "partial 16S ribosomal RNA". It matches the Rfam family "Bacterial small subunit ribosomal RNA", at positions 524 to 776 of the family's 1533-position model. The record is from RNAcentral.